RNAcentral lists this ribosomal RNA (1383 nucleotides) under Vibrio parahaemolyticus. Its description in RNAcentral is "bacterial LSU rRNA". It matches the Rfam family "Bacterial large subunit ribosomal RNA", at positions 1584 to 2925 of the family's 2925-position model. Lineage: Bacteria; Pseudomonadati; Pseudomonadota; Gammaproteobacteria; Vibrionales; Vibrionaceae. The record is from RNAcentral.
UGUGAAGUCAUUGAUGCCAUGCUUCCAGGAAAAGCCUCUAAGCUUCAGAUUGUAAGGAAUCGUACCCCAAACCGACACAGGUGGUCGGGUAGAGAAUACCAAGGCGCUUGAGAGAACUCGGGUGAAGGAACUAGGCAAAAUGGUACCGUAACUUCGGGAGAAGGUACGCUCUUGAUGGUGAAGUCCCUUGCGGAUGGAGCUGACGAGAGUCGCAGAUACCAGGUGGCUGCAACUGUUUAUUAAAAACACAGCACUGUGCAAAAUCGUAAGAUGACGUAUACGGUGUGACGCCUGCCCGGUGCCGGAAGGUUAAUUGAUGGGGUUAGACUUCGGUCGAAGCUCUUGAUCGAAGCCCCGGUAAACGGCGGCCGUAACUAUAACGGUCCUAAGGUAGCGAAAUUCCUUGUCGGGUAAGUUCCGACCUGCACGAAUGGCGUAAUGAUGGCCACGCUGUCUCCACCCGAGACUCAGUGAAAUUGAAAUCGCUGUGAAGAUGCAGUGUACCCGCGGCUAGACGGAAAGACCCCGUGAACCUUUACUACAGCUUGGCACUGAACAUUGACCCUACAUGUGUAGGAUAGGUGGGAGGCUUUGAAGCACGUACGCCAGUAUGUGUGGAGCCGUCCUUGAAAUACCACCCUUGUAGUGUUGAUGUUCUAACGUCGACCCCUUAUCGGGGUUGCGGACAGUGCCUGGUGGGUAGUUUGACUGGGGCGGUCUCCUCCCAAAGAGUAACGGAGGAGCACGAAGGUGGGCUAAUCACGGUUGGACAUCGUGAGGUUAGUGCAAUGGCAUAAGCCCGCUUGACUGCGAGAAUGACAAUUCGAGCAGGUGCGAAAGCAGGUCAUAGUGAUCCGGUGGUUCUGAAUGGAAGGGCCAUCGCUCAACGGAUAAAAGGUACUCCGGGGAUAACAGGCUGAUACCGCCCAAGAGUUCAUAUCGACGGCGGUGUUUGGCACCUCGAUGUCGGCUCAUCACAUCCUGGGGCUGAAGUCGGUCCCAAGGGUAUGGCUGUUCGCCAUUUAAAGUGGUACGCGAGCUGGGUUUAGAACGUCGUGAGACAGUUCGGUCCCUAUCUGCCGUGGGCGUUGGAAGAUUGAAGGGGGCUGCUCCUAGUACGAGAGGACCGGAGUGGACGAACCUCUGGUGUUCGGGUUGUGUCGCCAGACGCAUUGCCCGGUAGCUAAGUUCGGAAUCGAUAACCGCUGAAAGCAUCUAAGCGGGAAGCGAGCCCUGAGAUGAGUCUUCCCUGAUACUUUAAGUAUCCUAAAGGGUUGUCGGAGACUACGACGUUGAUAGGUCAGGUGUGUAAGUGCUGUGAGGCAUUGAGCUAACUGAUACUAAUUGCCCGUGAGGCUUAACCAUACAACACCCAAGGGGUUU